CACUGCCGAGAAAAGCCUCUAGAUAGAAAAUAGGUGCCCGUACCGCAAACCGACACAGGUAGUCAAGAUGAGAAUUCUAAGGUGAGCGAGCGAACUCUCGUUAAGGAACUCGGCAAAAUGACCCCGUAACUUCGGGAGAAGGGGUGCUCUUUAGGGUUAACGCCCAGAAGAGCCGCAGUGAAUAGGCCCAAGCGACUGUUUAUCAAAAACACAGGUCUCUGCUAAACCGUAAGGUGAUGUAUAGGGGCUGACGCCUGCCCGGUGCUGGAAGGUUAAGAGGAGUGGUUAGCUUCUGCGAAGCUACGAAUCGAAGCCCCAGUAAACGGCGGCCGUAACUAUAACGGUCCUAAGGUAGCGAAAUUCCUUGUCGGGUAAGUUCCGACCCGCACGAAAGGCGUAACGAUUUGGGCACUGUCUCAACGAGAGACUCGGUGAAAUCAUAGUACCUGUGAAGAUGCAGGUUACCCGCGACAGGACGGAAAGACCCCGUGGAGCUUUACUGUAGCCUGAUAUUGAAAUUCGGCACAGCUUGUACAGGAUAGGUAGGAGCCUUUGAAACGUGAGCGCUAGCUUACGUGGAGGCGCUGGUGGGAUACUACCCUAGCUGUGUUGGCUUUCUAACCCGCACCACUUAUCGUGGUGGGAGACAGUGUCAGGCGGGCAGUUUGACUGGGGCGGUCGCCUCCUAAAAGGUAACGGAGGCGCUCAAAGGUUCCCUCAGAAUGGUUGGAAAUCAUUCAUAGAGUGUAAAGGCAUAAGGGAGCUUGACUGCGAGACCUACAAGUCGAGCAGGGUCGAAAGACGGACUUAGUGAUCCGGUGGUUCCGCAUGGAAGGGCCAUCGCUCAACGGAUAAAAGCUACCCCGGGGAUAACAGGCUUAUCUCCCCCAAGAGUUCACAUCGACGGGGAGGUUUGGCACCUCGAUGUCGGCUCAUCGCAUCCUGGGGCUGUAGUCGGUCCCAAGGGUUGGGCUGUUCGCCCAUUAAAGCGGUACGCGAGCUGGGUUCAGAACGUCGUGAGACAGUUCGGUCCCUAUCCGUCGUGGGCGUAGGAAAUUUGAGAGGAGCUGUCCUUAGUACGAGAGGACCGGGAUGGACAUACCUCUGGUGUACCAGUUGUCGUGCCAACGGCAUAGCUGGGUAGCUAUGUGUGGACGGGAUAAGUGCUGAAAGCAUCUAAGCAUGAAGCCCCCCUCAAGAUGAGAUUUCCCAACUUCGGUUAUAAGAUCCCUCAA
Molecule: ribosomal RNA, 1235 nt
Filed under: Staphylococcus aureus
Lineage: Bacteria; Bacillati; Bacillota; Bacilli; Caryophanales; Staphylococcaceae
Description: partial 23S ribosomal RNA
Rfam family: Bacterial large subunit ribosomal RNA
Source: RNAcentral